RNAcentral lists this ribosomal RNA (329 nucleotides) under uncultured bacterium. RNAcentral's name for it is "bacterial SSU rRNA". It matches the Rfam family "Bacterial small subunit ribosomal RNA", at positions 28 to 354 of the family's 1533-position model. The record is from RNAcentral.
GGUGAACGCUGGCGGCGUGGAUAAGGCAUGCAAGUCGUACGCUCUGUACCAUAUUUUGGUACGGAGAGUGGCGAACGGGGCAGUAACACGUGUCUAACUCACCCUUCAGUUGGGCAUAACUAAUCGAAAGAUUAGCUAAUUCCCAAUGGUCCCUUGUUUACAUAAGUAGACGAGGGUAAAGCCUUACGGCGCUGAAGGAGAGGGGCGCGGCCGAUCAGCUAGUUGGUGAGGUAAAAGCUCACCAAGGCUAAGACCGGUAGGGGGCCUGAGAGGGUGUUCCCCGCCAAUGGUACUGAGACACGGACCUUACUCCUACGGGAGGCAGCAUG